RNAcentral lists this transfer RNA (77 nucleotides) under Planctomycetota bacterium. RNAcentral describes it as "Planctomycetes bacterium (soil metagenome) tRNA-Leu". It matches the Rfam family "tRNA". From Rfam's summary of the family: Transfer RNA (tRNA) molecules are approximately 80 nucleotides in length. Their secondary structure includes four short double-helical elements and three loops (D, anti-codon, and T loops). The record is from RNAcentral. Lineage: Bacteria; Pseudomonadati; Planctomycetota.
GGGGGCGUAGCCCAACCGGCAGAGGCGCCACGUCGAGAGCGUGGCUCGUGCGUGUUCGAAUCACGUCGCCCCCACCA